This 1123-nucleotide ribosomal RNA is filed under the name uncultured bacterium. RNAcentral describes it as "bacterial SSU rRNA". It matches the Rfam family "Bacterial small subunit ribosomal RNA", at positions 47 to 1162 of the family's 1533-position model. The record is from RNAcentral.
AUUGAUUUUAUGCUUGCAUAAAUGAUUUUUGGAUUCGGAGCGAGUGGCGAACUGGUGAGUAACACGUGGGUAACCUGCCCCGAAGCGGGGGAUAACAUUUGGAAACAAGUGCUAAUACCGCAUAAUUAGUUGGAACCGCAUGGUUCCAACUUGAAAGAUGGCUCUGCUAUCACUUUGGGAUGGACCCGCGCCGUAUUAGUUAGUUGGUGAGAUAAAAGCCCACCAAGACGAUGAUACGUAGCCGACCUGAGAGGGUAAUCGGCCACAUUGGGACUGAGACACGGCCCAGACUCCUACGGGAGGCAGCAGUAGGGAAUCUUCCACAAUGGACGAAAGUCUGAUGGAGCAACGCCGCGUGAGUGAUGAAGGUUUUCGGAUCGUAAAACUCUGUUGUUAAAGAAGAACAAGUGUUAGAGUAACUGUUAACACUUUGACGGUAUUUAACCAGAAAGCCACGGCUAACUACGUGCCAGCAGCCGCGGUAAUACGUAGGUGGCAAGCGUUGUCCGGAUUUAUUGGGCGUAAAGCGAGCGUAGGCGGUUUUGUAAGUCUGCUGUGAAAGCCCUCAGCUCAACUGAGGAAGUGCAGUGGAAACUACAAAACUUGAGUACAGAAGAGGAAAGUGGAACUCCAUGUGUAGCGGUGAAAUGCGUAGAUAUAUGGAAGAACACCAGUGGCGAAGGCGGCUUUCUGGUCUGUUACUGACGCUGAGGCUCGAAAGCAUGGGUAGCGAACAGGAUUAGAUACCCUGGUAGUCCAUGCCGUAAACGAUGAAUACUAGGUGUUGGAGGGUUUCCGCCCUUCAGUGCCGCAGCUAACGCAUUAAGUAUUCCGCCUGGGGAGUACGACCGCAAGGUUGAAACUCAAAGGAAUUGACGGGGGCCCGCACAAGUGGUGGAGCAUGUGGUUUAAUUCGAUGCUACGCGAAGAACCUUACCAGCUCUUGACAUCUUCUGCCAACCCAAGAGAUUGGGCGUUCCCUUCGGGGACAGAAUGACAGGUGGUGCAUGGUUGUCGUCAGCUCGUGUCGUGAGAUGUUGGGUUAAGUCCCGCAACGAGCGCAACCCUUAUUAUUAGUUGCCAGCAUUUAGUUGGGCACUCUAGUGAGACUGCCGGUGAUAAA